GGUUAAGCGACUAAGCGUACACGGUGGAUGCCCUGGCAGUCAGAGGCGAUGAAGGACGUGCUAAUCUGCGAUAAGCGCCGGUAAGGUGAUAUGAACCGUUAUAACCGGCGAUUUCCGAAUGGGGAAACCCAGUGUGACUCGUCACACUAUCAUUAACUGAAUCCAUAGGUUAAUGAGGCGAACCGGGGGAACUGAAACAUCUAAGUACCCCGAGGAAAAGAAAUCAACCGAGAUUCCCCCAGUAGCGGCGAGCGAACGGGGAGGAGCCCAGAGCCUGAAUCAGCAUGUGUGUUAGUGGAAGCGUCUGGAAAGGCGCGCGAUACAGGGUGACAGCCCCGUACACAAAAGCGCAUGUGCUGUGAGCUCGAUGAGUAGGGCGGGACACGUGGUAUCCUGUCUGAAUAUGGGGGGACCAUCCUCCAAGGCUAAAUACUCCUGACUGACCGAUAGUGAACCAGUACCGUGAGGGAAAGGCGAAAAGAACCCCGGCGAGGGGAGUGAAAAAGAACCUGAAACCGUGUACGUACAAGCAGUGGGAGCACAGGUUUACCUGUGUGACUGCGUACCUUUUGUAUAAUGGGUCAGCGACUUAUAUUCUGUAGCAAGGUUAACCGUAUAGGGGAGCCGGAGGAAACCGAGUCUUAAUUGGGCGUUAAGUUGCAGGGUAUAGACCCGAAACCCGGUGAUCUAGCCAUGGGCAGGUUGAAGGUUGGGUAACACUAACUGGAGGAUAGAACCGACUAAUGUUGAAAAAUUAGCGGAUGACCUGUGGCUGGGGGUGAAAGGCCAAUCAAACCGGGAGAUAGCUGGUUCUCCCCGAAAGCUAUUUAGGUAGCGCCUCGUGAAUUCAUCUCCGGGGUAGAGCACUGUUUCGGCUAGGGGGCCAUCCCGGCUUACCAACCCGAUGCAAACUGCGAAUACCGGAGAAUGUUAUCACGGGAGACACACGGCGGGUGCUAACGUCCGUCGUGAAGAGGGAAACAACCCAGACCGCCAGCUAAGAUCCCAAAGUCAUGGUUAAGUGGGAAACGAUGUGGGAAGGCCCAGACAGCCAGGAUGUUGGCUUAGAAGCAGCCAUCAUUUAAAGAAAGCGUAAUAGCUCACUGGUCGAGUCGGCCUGCGCGGAAGAUGUAACGGGGCUAAACCAUGCACCGAAGCUGCGGCAGCGACACUCAGGUGUUGUUGGGUAGGGGAGCGUUCUGUAAGCCUGCGAAGGUGGCCUGUGAGGGUUGCUGGAGGUAUCAGAAGUGCGAAUGCUGACAUAAGUAACGAUAAAGCGGGUGAAAAGCCCGCUCGCCGGAAGACCAAGGGUUCCUGUCCAACGUUAAUCGGGGCAGGGUGAGUCGACCCUAAGGCGAGGCCGAAAGGCGUAGUCGAUGGGAAACGGGUUAAUAUUCCCGUACUUGGUGUUACUGCGAAGGGGGGACGGAGAAGGCUAUGUUGGCCGGGCGACGGUUGUCCCGGUUUAAGCGUGUAGGUGUGUGUUCCGGUAAAUCCGGUUCACUUUAACACUGAGGCGUGAUGACGAGGCACUACGGUGCUGAAGCAACAAAUGCCCUGCUUCCAGGAAAAGCCUCUAAGCAUCAGGUAACAUCAAAUCGUACCCCAAACCGACACAGGUGGUCAGGUAGAGAAUACCAAGGCGCUUGAGAGAACUCGGGUGAAGGAACUAGGCAAAAUGGUGCCGUAACUUCGGGAGAAGGCACGCUGACAUGUAGGUGAAGUGAUUUACUCAUGGAGCUGAAGUCAGUCGAAGAUACCAGCUGGCUGCAACUGUUUAUUAAAAACACAGCACUGUGCAAACACGAAAGUGGACGUAUACGGUGUGACGCCUGCCCGGUGCCGGAAGGUUAAUUGAUGGGGUCAGCGCAAGCGAAGCUCCUGAUCGAAGCCCCGGUAAACGGCGGCCGUAACUAUAACGGUCCUAAGGUAGCGAAAUUCCUUGUCGGGUAAGUUCCGACCUGCACGAAUGGCGUAAUGAUGGCCAGGCUGUCUCCACCCGAGACUCAGUGAAAUUGAACUCGCUGUGAAGAUGCAGUGUACCCGCGGCAAGACGGAAAGACCCCGUGAACCUUUACUAUAGCUUGACACUGAACAUUGAGCCUUGAUGUGUAGGAUAGGUGGGAGGCUUUGAAGCGUGGACGCCAGUCUGCGUGGAGCCGACCUUGAAAUACCACCCUUUAAUGUUUGAUGUUCUAACGUGGAUCCGUAAUCCGGGUUGCGGACAGUGUCUGGUGGGUAGUUUGACUGGGGCGGUCUCCUCCUAAAGAGUAACGGAGGAGCACGAAGGUUGGCUAAUCCUGGUCGGACAUCAGGAGGUUAGUGCAAUGGCAUAAGCCAGCUUGACUGCGAGCGUGACGGCGCGAGCAGGUGCGAAAGCAGGUCAUAGUGAUCCGGUGGUUCUGAAUGGAAGGGCCAUCGCUCAACGGAUAAAAGGUACUCCGGGGAUAACAGGCUGAUACCGCCCAAGAGUUCAUAUCGACGGCGGUGUUUGGCACCUCGAUGUCGGCUCAUCACAUCCUGGGGCUGAAGUAGGUCCCAAGGGUAUGGCUGUUCGCCAUUUAAAGUGGUACGCGAGCUGGGUUUAGAACGUCGUGAGACAGUUCGGUCCCUAUCUGCCGUGGGCGCUGGAGAACUGAGGGGGGCUGCUCCUAGUACGAGAGGACCGGAGUGGACGCAUCACUGGUGUUCGGGUUGUCAUGCCAAUGGCACUGCCCGGUAGCUAAAUGCGGAAGAGAUAAGUGCUGAAAGCAUCUAAGCACGAAACUUGCCCCGAGAUGAGUUCUCCCUGAGACUUAGAGUCUCCUGAAGGAACGUUGAAGACGACGACGUUGAUAGGCCGGGUGUGUAAGCGCAGCGAUGCGUUGAGCUAACCGGUACUAAUGAACCGUGAGGCUUAACCUU
RNAcentral lists this ribosomal RNA (2904 nucleotides) under Salmonella enterica subsp. enterica serovar Infantis. Its description in RNAcentral is "23S ribosomal RNA". It matches the Rfam family "Bacterial large subunit ribosomal RNA". The record is from RNAcentral. Lineage: Bacteria; Pseudomonadati; Pseudomonadota; Gammaproteobacteria; Enterobacterales; Enterobacteriaceae.